AUGGUGAGGAUCACCAAUGUCUAUGCGCCAUGUGACUGCGCCGCUAAGGAGGCAUUCCUCCUUGAGCUUGCCGGGCAUGCCCAUCCCAGCUCUAUCCCUUGGGCCAUUGUGGGGGAUUUCAACCUCAUCCGAUCUCCGGAGGAUCAUAGUAACGAUAGUUUUUCUCGGACCGAGGCCAUGUGGUUUAAUGACUUCAUUAGUGACCUUGCACUCAUCGACCUCCCCCUUCAUGACCGCCAAUUUACCUAGUCUAACCGC
RNAcentral lists this ribosomal RNA (258 nucleotides) under Triticum aestivum (bread wheat). Its description in RNAcentral is "partial small subunit ribosomal RNA". Lineage: Eukaryota; Viridiplantae; Streptophyta; Magnoliopsida; Poales; Poaceae. The record is from RNAcentral.